This 467-nucleotide ribosomal RNA is filed under the name uncultured bacterium. RNAcentral's name for it is "partial 16S ribosomal RNA". It matches the Rfam family "Bacterial small subunit ribosomal RNA", at positions 28 to 506 of the family's 1533-position model. The record is from RNAcentral.
GACGAACGCUGGCGGCGUGCUUAACACAUGCAAGUCGAACGGAAAGGCCCUGCUUUUGUGGGGUGCUCGAGUGGCGAACGGGUGAGUAACACGCGAGUAACCUGCCCUUGACUUUGGGAUAACUUCAGGAAACUGGGGCUAAUACCGGAUAGGAGCUCCUGCUGCAUGGUGGGGGUUGGAAAGUUUCGGCGGUUGGGGAUGGACUCGCGGCUUAUCAGCUUGUUGGUGGGGUAGUGGCUUACCAAGGCUUUGACGGGUAGCCGGCCUGAGAGGGUGACCGGCCACAUUGGGACUGGGAUACGGCCCGGACGCCUACGGGAGGCAGGAGUGGGGAAUAGUGCAAAAUGGGCGGAAGCCGGAGGCAGCAACGCCGCGUGCGGGAUGACGGCCUUCGGGUUGUAAACCGCUUUCGCGUGUGACGAAGCGUGAGUAACGGUAAUGGGUAAAGAAGCACCGGCUAACUACGU